GAGCUGUAGCUCAGUGGUAGAGCAUCUGUUUUGCAUGCAAAAGGUCCCAAGUUCAACCCCCAACAGCAUCU
Molecule: non-coding RNA, 71 nt
Organism: Podarcis lilfordi (Lilford's wall lizard)
Lineage: Eukaryota; Metazoa; Chordata; Lepidosauria; Squamata; Lacertidae
Source: the annotation of a GenBank genome assembly